GCAGAUGUUGUGACCUCACUUUGCCUGUAUGGCUGCGUAAAAUCUGGAUAGGUGUCCUACCGCAGAGAUGUUGGUGUAUGUGUAUGCUGCAUUGUGCACAAUGUUGGGAAAUGAAGCCAGCCCAGAGCCCUGUGGGAAGCUGACUAGAUAUGGCCCAUAUACACAGUGGCAUCUUAUUCACCCUGUCCUUUUCAAAGGGUUCACACGAUGGAGCAAGAGCAGAAUGAAGCAAGUCCCGGCUUUAUCACCUUUGGAAGACACAGGUCUCCUGCCACCCUCCGAGAUCUUCCCGCCGAGCCCAGGCGCGGGGCAUGAGGAGCCCCUGGGUGUCUCCUGCAGACAACCCAGCCUCGCGCACACCUCGCCAGUCGCUGACAGGGACAUGAACAGCAUGAUUGGGUUCCGGUGUCCGGCGGCCAGCCUCAGCCGGAGGCGGCCAGUGGGUCUGCGCUGUUUGGGAGAAUGA
Molecule: long non-coding RNA, 466 nt
Filed under: Mus spicilegus (steppe mouse)
Lineage: Eukaryota; Metazoa; Chordata; Mammalia; Rodentia; Muridae
Description: lncRNA (ENSMSIG00000009775.1)
Source: RNAcentral